Molecule: ribosomal RNA, 492 nt
Filed under: uncultured bacterium
Lineage: Bacteria
Description: partial 16S ribosomal RNA
Rfam family: Bacterial small subunit ribosomal RNA
Source: RNAcentral
AGUGAACGCUGGCGGUAGGCCUAACACAUGCAAGUCGAACGGCAGCACAGUAAGAGCUUGCUCUUACGGGUGGCGAGUGGCGGACGGGUGAGGAAUACAUCGGAAUCUACUUUUUCGUGGGGGAUAACGUAGGGAAACUUACGCUAAUACCGCAUACGACCUACGGGUGAAAGCAGGGGAUCUUCGGACCUUGCGCGAUUGAAUGAGCCGAUGUCGGAUUAGCUAGUUGGCGGGGUAAAGGCCCACCAAGGCGACGAUCCGUAGCUGGUCUGAGAGGAUGGUCAGCCACACUGGAACUGAGACACGGACCAGACUCCUACGGGAGGCCGCAGUGGGGAAUAUUGGACAAUGGGCGCAAGCCUGACCCAGCCAUACCGCGUGGGUGACGAAGGCCUUCGGGUUGUAAAGCCCUUUUGUUGGGAAAGAAAAGCAGCAGGUUAAGACCCAGCUGUUCUGACGGUACCCAAAGAAUAAGCACCGGCUAACUUCGUG